This 297-nucleotide long non-coding RNA is filed under the name Mytilus galloprovincialis (Mediterranean mussel). Lineage: Eukaryota; Metazoa; Mollusca; Bivalvia; Mytilida; Mytilidae. The record is from RNAcentral.
UAUGAUUACCAAUGAUUAACAUUGAUUUUAUUGAUUAUAGUGAUGAAAAAAAAUAAAGAAAAAAACAAACACUUUUUUAAAAGUCUAUAAAUGGACUUAUAAUCUUCUAAAUGUCCAGUGCCAGUGCCCUAAUUUUUGGAUUUGUAUGCACAACCAUAUAUCUAACAACCAAGUCUUCUUUGUUAUUAUACACUUAAUUAUCUAUAUUAAGUAAGAAUAACAUUCAUUGUAUUAAUUUCAGGGUAUUUGACAACUAAUUAAAACCAGCCAUGUUUUGAGUUAGUAUAAGUUUUUUUU